CACGUAGGGUGCGAGCGUUGUCCGGAAUUAUUGGGCGUAAAGAGCUCGUAGGCGGUGUGUCGCGUCGGCCGUGAAAACCUGCAGCUUAACUGUGGGCUUGCGGUCGAUACGGGCAUCACUGGAGUUCGGCAGGGGGAGACUGGAAUUCCUGGUGUAGCGGUGAAAUGCGCAGAUAUCAGGAGGAACACCGGUGGCGAAGGCGGGUCUCUGGGCCGAUACUGACGCUGAGGAGCGAAAGCGUGGGGAGCGAACAGG
Molecule: ribosomal RNA, 255 nt
Filed under: uncultured bacterium
Lineage: Bacteria
Description: partial 16S ribosomal RNA
Rfam family: Bacterial small subunit ribosomal RNA
Source: RNAcentral